Fukomys damarensis (Damara mole-rat) is the source of this 475-nucleotide long non-coding RNA. RefSeq lists it as uncharacterized. The record is from RefSeq and is a predicted model, not a curated record. The transcript has 3 exons. NCBI's taxonomy places the organism in Eukaryota, Metazoa, Chordata, Mammalia, Rodentia, Bathyergidae.
GAGUGAAUGGGGCAGCAAAGAAUGGAUGAUGACAACCUCCCCUCAUGCCCCCCGGCUCCAUCUACAACAUGCACAGAUCAGUUGUAAGGACUUCAGAAUGACCGCAUGAGAGCAAUGAGCCAGGCGGGACCCUGUCUGAGCAGUGGUUGCUGAGCAACCACAUACACAGGAAGUCCACCCUGGCCCUACUGGAAACCCCUGCGUAGUCCCUCAGGAGGAUGUCACUGCUCGCAGGCACAUUUCCUCUCCCUCCUGGAAUGGAAUCACCAUCAUUAUCAAGAAGCAUUUUGUUUUGCACACUACCCCUGUUUUCUAUCUGUGCCACUGGAUGUGUGCCUCACUGAUGAAAUUCACAACAGAAAUGCUUUGGGGGUCACUGGUACUGACUCACUGAGACCUCACAGCUAUAUUAUGAAAAGAUUCACCUUGCCCCACAUUAAUGAAGCCAGCCUCGGAGGCACCUGGGAAAUAAAUG